This 425-nucleotide ribosomal RNA is filed under the name uncultured bacterium. RNAcentral's name for it is "partial 16S ribosomal RNA". It matches the Rfam family "Bacterial small subunit ribosomal RNA", at positions 354 to 796 of the family's 1533-position model. The record is from RNAcentral.
GUGGGGAAUAUUGGACAAUGGGGGCAACCCUGAUCCAGCAAUGCCGCGUGUGUGAAGAAGGUCUUCGGAUCGUAAAGCACUUUCGACGGGGACGAUGAUGACGGUACCCGUAGAAGAAGCCCCGGCUAACUUCGUGCCAGCAGCCGCGGUAAUACGAAGGGGGCUAGCGUUGCUCGGAAUUACUGGGCGUAAAGGGCGCGUAGGCGGCUCUGUUAGUCAGGCGUGAAAUUCCUGGGCUUAACCUGGGGACUGCGCUUGAUACUGCGGAGCUUGAGGCCGAGAGAGGGUGGUGGAAUUCCCAGUGUAGAGGUGAAAUUCGUAGAUAUUGGGAAGAACACCGGUGGCGAAGGCGACCACCUGGCUCGGUACUGACGCUGAGGCGCGACAGCGUGGGGAGCAAACAGGAUUAGAAACCCCGGUAGUCC